GGAAUAUUGCACAAUGGGGGAAACCCUGAUGCAGCGACGCCGCGUGAGUGAAGAAGUAUUUCGGUAUGUAAAGCUCUAUCAGCAGGGAAGAAAAUGACGGUACCUGAUUAAGAAGCCCCGGCUAACUACGUGCCAGCAGCCGCGGUAAUACGUAGGGGGCAAGCGUUAUCCGGAUUUACUGGGUGUAAAGGGAGCGUAGACGGCAGCACAAGUCUGGAGUGAAAUGCCGGGGCUUAACCCCGGAACUGCUUUGGAAACUGUGCAGCUAGAGUGCAGGAGAGGUAAGUGGAAUUCCUAGUGUAGCGGUGAAAUGCGUAGAUAUUAGGAGGAACACCAGUGGCGAAGGCGGCUUACUGGGCCGACACUGACGCUGAGGCGCGAAAGCUAGGGGAGCGAACAG
Molecule: ribosomal RNA, 400 nt
Filed under: uncultured bacterium
Lineage: Bacteria
Description: bacterial SSU rRNA
Rfam family: Bacterial small subunit ribosomal RNA
Source: RNAcentral